Portunus trituberculatus (swimming crab) is the source of this 717-nucleotide long non-coding RNA. RefSeq lists it as uncharacterized. The record is from RefSeq and is a predicted model, not a curated record. The transcript has 2 exons. Lineage: Eukaryota; Metazoa; Arthropoda; Malacostraca; Decapoda; Portunidae.
ACACACACGCAGAGAGAGAGAGAGAGAGAGAGAGAGAGAGAGAGAGAGAGAGAGAGAGAGAGAGAGAGAGAGAGCGUUCCUCCAGGCGUAGCAGCAGCAGUUAGUCAGUCGCCGCCUGCCGCCAGCCCAGCUGAGGACAGGGGGACUGGCUAGCCCUCCUAUUGGUGACUCCUCUGGAAGCUGACGACCAGGCUGCCUUCACUGCGGGGCACGAGGUGUGGGGAGGAAGGGGAUGGGGAGGGGAAGGGAGGGAGGGGAGGGAAGGGGAGGGAGGGAGGCACCUACAGCUUAAUAAUCCCUAAUAAUAGUUGACUAGGACAGGUGGGGCGUCACUGAACCCGGCUGAUUAUGCUCCUGACUGUGCCGGGCGCCCGUGCUUCUCCCGCCGGGGACUAGAGUGUGGCGGGGCGGCGGGGCGGCCUCCACACCGCGGCCCCCGCUCACUGCCUCACGCAUGCCUCCCUCACGCAGGGUACGAGUAUUGUCUUAUCGUUAUGUUUUUUUUUGUUCUUUUUACACUUUGUCUCGUAAAGGGAUGGUUAUGAUUGCUAUUACCUAUCGGAAUAGAUACUUGGUGUGUGUACGCCUUGUAUGUACGCUAGAAUACGUUGUGUGUGUGUGUGUGUGUGUGUGUGUGUGUGUGUGUGUGUGUGUGUGUGUGUGUGUGUGUGUGUUUGUAUGUGGUUGUGUUUGUGUGUGUGUGUGUGUGUGUGUUUU